This 2792-nucleotide ribosomal RNA is filed under the name Klebsiella pneumoniae. RNAcentral describes it as "bacterial LSU rRNA". It matches the Rfam family "Bacterial large subunit ribosomal RNA". The record is from RNAcentral. Lineage: Bacteria; Pseudomonadati; Pseudomonadota; Gammaproteobacteria; Enterobacterales; Enterobacteriaceae.
UUAAGCGACUAAGCGUACACGGUGGAUGCCCUGGCAGUCAGAGGCGAUGAAGGACGUGCUAAUCUGCGAAAAGCGUCGGUAAGGUGAUAUGAACCGUUACAGCCGGCGAUGUCCGAAUGGGGAAACCCAGUGCAAUUCGUUGCACUAUCGUUAACUGAAUACAUAGGUUAACGAGGCGAACCGGGGGAACUGAAACAUCUAAGUACCCCGAGGAAAAGAAAUCAACCGAGAUUCCCCCAGUAGCGGCGAGCGAACGGGGAGCAGCCCAGAGUCUGAAUCAGCUUGUGUGUUAGUGGAACGGUCUGGAAAGUCCGACGGUACAGGGUGAUAGUCCCGUACACCAAAAUGCACAGGUUGUGAACUCGAAGAGUAGGGCGGGACACGUGGUAUCCUGUCUGAAUAUGGGGGGACCAUCCUCCAAGGCUAAAUACUCCUGACUGACCGAUAGUGAACCAGUACCGUGAGGGAAAGGCGAAAAGAACCCCGGCGAGGGGAGUGAAAAAGAACCUGAAACCGUGUACGUACAAGCAGUGGGAGCACCUUCGGGUGUGACUGCGUACCUUUUGUAUAAUGGGUCAGCGACUUAUAUUCUGUAGCAAGGUUAACCGUAUAGGGGAGCCGCAGGGAAACCGAGUCUUAACUGGGCGUUAAGUUGCAGGGUAUAGACCCGAAACCCGGUGAUCUAGCCAUGGGCAGGUUGAAGGUUGGGUAACACUAACUGGAGGACCGAACCGACUAAUGUUGAAAAAUUAGCGGAUGACUUGUGGCUGGGGGUGAAAGGCCAAUCAAACCGGGAGAUAGCUGGUUCUCCCCGAAAGCUAUUUAGGUAGCGCCUCGUGAACUCAUCUUCGGGGGUAGAGCACUGUUUCGGCUAGGGGGUCAUCCCGACUUACCAACCCGAUGCAAACUACGAAUACCGAAGAAUGUUAUCACGGGAGACACACGGCGGGUGCUAACGUCCGUCGUGAAGAGGGAAACAACCCAGACCGCCAGCUAAGGUCCCAAAGUCAUGGUUAAGUGGGAAACGAUGUGGGAAGGCACAGACAGCCAGGAUGUUGGCUUAGAAGCAGCCAUCAUUUAAAGAAAGCGUAAUAGCUCACUGGUCGAGUCGGCCUGCGCGGAAGAUGUAACGGGGCUAAACCAUGCACCGAAGCUGCGGCAGCGACACUAUGUGUUGUUGGGUAGGGGAGCGUUCUGUAAGCCUGCGAAGGUGUGCUGUGAGGCAUGCUGGAGGUAUCAGAAGUGCGAAUGCUGACAUAAGUAACGAUAAAGCGGGUGAAAAGCCCGCUCGCCGGAAGACCAAGGGUUCCUGUCCAACGUUAAUCGGGGCAGGGUGAGUCGACCCCUAAGGCGAGGCCGAAAGGCGUAGUCGAUGGGAAACAGGUUAAUAUUCCUGUACUUGGUGUUACUGCGAAGGGGGGACGGAGAAGGCUAUGUUAGCCGGGCGACGGUUGUCCCGGUUUAAGCAUGUAGGCUGGUUAUCCAGGCAAAUCCGGAUAAUCAAGGCUGAGGUGUGAUGACGAGGCACUACGGUGCUGAAGUAACAAAUGCCCUGCUUCCAGGAAAAGCCUCUAAGCAUCAGGUAACAUUAAAUCGUACCCCAAACCGACACAGGUGGUCAGGUAGAGAAUACCAAGGCGCUUGAGAGAACUCGGGUGAAGGAACUAGGCAAAAUGGUGCCGUAACUUCGGGAGAAGGCACGCUGGUGUGUAGGUGAAGUCCCUGCGGAUGGAGCUGAGACCAGUCGAAGAUACCAGCUGGCUGCAACUGUUUAUUAAAAACACAGCACUGUGCAAACACGAAAGUGGACGUAUACGGUGUGACGCCUGCCCGGUGCCGGAAGGUUAAUUGAUGGGGUUAUCCGUAAGGAGAAGCUCUUGAUCGAAGCCCCGGUAAACGGCGGCCGUAACUAUAACGGUCCUAAGGUAGCGAAAUUCCUUGUCGGGUAAGUUCCGACCUGCACGAAUGGCGUAAUGAUGGCCAGGCUGUCUCCACCCGAGACUCAGUGAAAUUGAACUCGCUGUGAAGAUGCAGUGUACCCGCGGCAAGACGGAAAGACCCCGUGAACCUUUACUAUAGCUUGACACUGAACAUUGAGCCUUGAUGUGUAGGAUAGGUGGGAGGCUUUGAAGCGUGGACGCCAGUCUGCGUGGAGCCAACCUUGAAAUACCACCCUUUAAUGUUUGAUGUUCUAACGUUGGCCCCUUACCGGGGUUGCGGACAGUGUCUGGUGGGUAGUUUGACUGGGGCGGUCUCCUCCCAAAGCGUAACGGAGGAGCACGAAGGUUAGCUAAUCCUGGUCGGACAUCAGGAGGUUAGUGCAAUGGCAUAAGCUAGCUUGACUGCGAGCGUGACGGCGCGAGCAGGUGCGAAAGCAGGUCAUAGUGAUCCGGUGGUUCUGAAUGGAAGGGCCAUCGCUCAACGGAUAAAAGGUACUCCGGGGAUAACAGGCUGAUACCGCCCAAGAGUUCAUAUCGACGGCGGUGUUUGGCACCUCGAUGUCGGCUCAUCACAUCCUGGGGCUGAAGUAGGUCCCAAGGGUAUGGCUGUUCGCCAUUUAAAGUGGUACGCGAGCUGGGUUUAGAACGUCGUGAGACAGUUCGGUCCCUAUCUGCCGUGGGCGCUGGAGAAUUGAGGGGGGCUGCUCCUAGUACGAGAGGACCGGAGUGGACGCAUCACUGGUGUUCGGGUUGUCAUGCCAAUGGCACUGCCCGGUAGCUAAAUGCGGAAGAGAUAAGUGCUGAAAGCAUCUAAGCACGAAACUUGCCCCGAGAUGAGUUCUCCCUGAGACU